GAUGAACGCUGGCGGCGUGCUUAACACAUGCGAGUCGAACGAAGCAUUUAAGACAGAUUACUUCGGUUUGAAGUCUUUUAUGACUGAGUGGCGGACGGGUGAGUAACGCGUGGGUAACCUGCCUCAUACAGGGGGAUAGCAGCUGGAAACGGCUGGUAAUACCGCAUAAGCGCACAGUACCACAUGGUACAGUGUGAAAAACUCCGGUGGUAUGAGAUGGACCCGCGUCUGAUUAGCUUGUUGGCGGGGUAACGGCCCACCAAGGCGACGAUCAGUAGCCGACCUGAGAGGGUGACCGGCCACAUUGGGACUGAGACACGGCCCAGACUCCUACGGGAGGCAGCAGUGGGGAAUAUUGCACAAUGGAGGAAACUCUGAUGCAGCGACGCCGCGUGAGUGAAGAAGUAGUUCGCUAUGUAAAGCUCUAUCAGCAGGGAAGAUAGUGACGGUACCUGACUAAGAAGCUCCGGCUAAAUACGUG
This 481-nucleotide ribosomal RNA is filed under the name uncultured bacterium. RNAcentral's name for it is "partial 16S ribosomal RNA". It matches the Rfam family "Bacterial small subunit ribosomal RNA", at positions 28 to 507 of the family's 1533-position model. The record is from RNAcentral.